UUCCAGCUGUCUCCGAUUCAUGAUUUAUUCCGAUUCCAAGUUAGUAAACGUGCCAUAAAUGAUUUUACUUCUCUUUCUCUCUACUUUGCCGUCCUUCUUCUUUGAGUCCAUCUCGAUUCGAUACCGAUGAGUGCUAUAGAUUUCCUCUCUCCAUCACCUCCUUCAACUAUUUUCCCCUCUCGAUCUGUCAUAUUCUUUGCGGAAUGCAACGCCAUCCAAAUGCGCCAAUUUAGGUUAAAUCCGAUGAGUUUGCCAUGAGAUCCACCAACCAAUCGUUCCUUUCGAAAGCGGCCUCUAUAAAACCCAACAAAAGGGAAAGAUUUGGGUUUUGAUUUGAUUGGGUUUAUGUUAAGUUUCUGUUAAUUUGAUAGGGUCAGUCUCUCAUAUCUUCUAUCACUCUCUUUUCUUUCGUUCUGUCAUGGAACACAAUGGUAAGUCUUUGAUCUUCCUCUUCCUUUCUCAUUUUUCUUGUUCGCUCUAUGUUAUAGGUGAUUUGGAUUUAGGUUCUUGAACAUUCUUGAUCUCAUUAAAAGUUAGGAUAGUAAUUUGGGAUUAAUUUGUCAGGGUACGAGAAUGUGAAAUUGGGGGUUAGGAUUUCUGUUUCUCAAUUUGAAUUUAGGUUACUGGUGAUUGUUGACAGUUAUCUUCUAUGUUUAAUCAUAGAUUGGAGAUAUUGUUAAAAGCAAGACGGUGAGCAUCGCGGAGCCGCAGUUCGCGACAGCAAAAACGUCAAGGUACCCGGUCUCAUUAGUGGACAGCCACACCAUUGCCCAGAACAUAAGAUGAGCCCUUGUCAAAUUGAACUGUGGUAACACCUAAAUCGCAUCUAUAGUCUUGUAACUUUUUUUUUCCCUUCAAUAUGAUUUAAUUGGUUAUUUCUAAAUUUCAAUUGUUUAUUUUUCUUCUCAACCGGGAUGCAAAAUGAAAACCCAGUUAACUAAUGUGUUUUGUUUUGAUUUAUUUAGAGUGUUCAAUGAUGGUUCUGAUUAUAUCGGGCAUAAGUUCUCUAAAUUUUUACUUUCUGUUUUGGUUUCUUCUUAUAAUUAAUCCCUUUUGUGUUCUUGUUAUGCUUACACCUUCAAAGAAGACGUAGUAGUAAGUCAAUAGAGAAGAAUUUUUUCUGGAACACAUUCUAAAACUUCUUAUAAUUGGGUAUUGUACAAUUUUGUUGCUAUUGGUUGAUUAUAAAGUUGCUGGAAGGUUUAAGGAUAACUACGUUGGCUGUAAAAGCAGCUCUUAGACCCACUUAUAAGCUACAAAAUAAUAUAAGCAUGGAGCAUUUAAAUUUGUAAAUGGCUUAGCAACCUCUUGGUACAAACCGAGUCAACAAAUUGAUGAAGGAAAAUUUUCUGCUGACAAGCUUGGUUUCAUAUUGCUGGGAAAAGUUUAGGUGGAUAUUGCCAUGAAAUAGAAGCCCUGUUAUUUGGCCGAUAAGCUAGCAGCCUAGCACUUGCAUAUGGUCAGCAUACUGAUAUUCUGAUUGCCACUGUAACUCUACAACUACAACCCUACUAGCUUGGUAGAUGCCUCCUUUUCUUAUUCUCAAAAGCAGAUCCUUUUGAACCACUUCUUUAUGUUGUUAAUCUUCUGAAUAUCCAAUAAUCAAGUGGAUAUUCACUACCAGGCUGAAUUUGCUACCAGACUGAAUUUGCUUAAAAUAUUUCACUACCAGGCUGAAUUUGCUUUUACCAGGCUAAAAUAUUCCUCUUAAUUACUUUUUGACAUUUUGAGUCAGCAAGUAUUUCUUUCUAUUUCACUACCAGGCUGAAUUUUCUUAAAAUAUUUCACAACGGAUAGAGUCUGAGAUAUGAGUCGAUGGCUAGAUGCAAUACAUUUGAAAUGGAUUUCAAAUAACAAUGUGCAAUGAACUUGGGUUUAAACUGCUCUUCCCAUGAACUUGGGUCUCAUUCGUUCAUUUUUCAUGUUCCUUCAGGAUUACUCUCAGCAGCCCCCUAUGCAGGAAUUAAUUGCAAGGGAUCUUCAUGAUAAUGAAUGGAAAUUCAUACAUAUAUUUCGAGGAGGCUUGCAACAACACUAUAGUAAUUGGUACGUGAAGUAGAUCGAGGGGGUCCCUGCAAAGUUUAUCUUGAAGUAGAGGAAAAUAACCAACUUGUAAAGCUUAAUUAUCUUGUAAAUUUUGGUAGAAGCUCCAUUCCUUUUGUAACAUUCAUGAGGAAAAUUAAAAUGUAACAUUUCCUUUUAUACAAGCUUCAUUCCUUUUG
This is a long non-coding RNA of Rosa rugosa (rugosa rose), 2222 nucleotides long. RefSeq lists it as uncharacterized. The transcript has 3 exons. The record is from RefSeq and is a predicted model, not a curated record. NCBI's taxonomy places the organism in Eukaryota, Viridiplantae, Streptophyta, Magnoliopsida, Rosales, Rosaceae.